GUCCCCGUAGCUCAGGCGGAUAGAGCACCAGAUUCCUAAUCUGGGGGCCACAGGUUCAAGUCCUGUCGGGGACGCCA
RNAcentral lists this transfer RNA (77 nucleotides) under Parvularculaceae bacterium. Its description in RNAcentral is "tRNA-Arg". It matches the Rfam family "tRNA". From Rfam's summary of the family: Transfer RNA (tRNA) molecules are approximately 80 nucleotides in length. Their secondary structure includes four short double-helical elements and three loops (D, anti-codon, and T loops). The record is from RNAcentral. Lineage: Bacteria; Pseudomonadati; Pseudomonadota; Alphaproteobacteria; Parvularculales; Parvularculaceae.